UAUUCUGUUUUUAUUCUGUUUAUAAUGGUUGUCGCUACUCAUGUCCCGUAAUUUAGUUUCUUUUGAUGAACAAAACAAAGAAUUAAAUUAUAAGAAAUAGAAAAAAAAGAAGAAGCAACGGUGAAGGAAAAAAAAUAUCAUUCAUGCUUCAAUGUUUACUAUAGAUGAGAAGAGGGGCGUUCACGAUCUAUUGUAAAAAAAUAAAAUUUUACAUUUUUACUAGGUCUGUUGCACCAGAUCGUGAAUACCCCUAAUGCAAACCACUUUGAAUCAAUGGAAAAUCACUACAUUUUUAACCUAAUACUACGUUUCCACCUACCCUAAAUCCGAGAUUUAGCUUAGUAGAUUUAGCGUAAAUCUCGAGUUUUAUUCUAAAUCUCGGAUUGAAUGUAGGUGAAAAUCUUAGAUUUAGGGAAGCUGAACCCAAAUCUGAGAUUUAGCGAAGUAGAUUUAAAAUAAAUCUCGAGAUUUAUUCUAAAUCUACUUAGCUAAAUCUCGGAUUUAGCGUAGGUGGAAACAUAGUAUAAAGUGGAAGAUUGAAUCAAAUUAGCACACUUUAAAUCAAAGUUGUUCACACAUUGAAAAAAAAUAAAAAAAAGUAAAAUCCGCUGGGGAUCGAACCUGUUACACCUGGGUUAACAAGCUUGUGCUUUACCACUGUGCUAUCUCACUUAUAAAAAUUGGUGUGACAAAUUGUAACUCAAGGGAGGAAAUCCCUCUGGAAGACAGCUUUUUCAAUAAUUUUUUUUUGGAAAAGCGAAAGCAUUUUUUGAAAUUUGUAAAAGUACAUGAUAAUAUUGACAUAAUGAAGUAUUGAUACAAUUUUUUUUUAAAGUAAAACAAAAACAAAAUGGCGGCGCUAGAGCUCUUUAAAGUUGGCGUCUACGGUUUGCGCCGUGCAAUGCCCAGGUCCAGAAAAUAAUUUAUAAUCAAAAAGGAAAUUUUUUUCCAAUAAAAUAUAUUUAUACGCAUUGCAUGAACCUAAAUUUAGCAAAAAAAGUGUAAAAAAAAUUAGAGACCAAAAAAACAAAAUAAACAAAUUCUUAAAAAAUAUAUUUAUUGUAAAAAUUAUAUUGAACGAGUUAACGAGUAAUUUGCAUUUUAUUUCAGGUUGAUAGCUUCAUUAGUUUUUGAGUUACGUUGCACGGCGCGGAAAAAAAUGUCUUUCGAGAAAAAUGAGUUUAAAAUUUUCGUACUGUGGUUGGUUCGGAGCGCAUAGUUUUCGGGACUAUCAAGAGGCUUUUGGUGCUUCAUUUAAGGCUAAGACCACUGAAAAUAGUUUCUUCGGUUGAUAAAUGAAUUUAUUAGGCAAAAAAAAUAAUGCAAAAAAUAAAAAUAUCUAGAGGGAUUUCCCCCUUCCCCCCUUAAGCAUAGGACGAUUUUUAGAAAAUUAUUGAAUAUAUUUUUCACCAUUAAUUCAAUGUAGAACAUAUUAAAAAUUACUAUGCGUUUUUUCUCUGGGUGUAUGGUAAACUACUUCAAAACAUUUACCCCUGUCGUUCGCUUCUCUACAAUUCGCAUAAUACUGGCGUUGGCGGCACAGUUUUAUCUUCAUUUACACCAUGUUGAUGUCACAACAGCCUACUUGCAUGGGGAUUUAAAUGAAACAAUGUUCAUGUUUCAGCCGUACGAAAAAAAACGUAGACUAACGAAAAAAUGCAUACAGAGCACGCUUUUUUUUCGUUUCCUGGAGUCAAAGUCACAUCUCACAGAUAAUAUUCAACCCCGCAAGUGCGCAGGCCAAUCACGCAGAAUAAAUAAAAAAAAGUGUGUGCUGAAAUAGUUUAAAAUAAAGUAGUAAAGGGAACAAAAGGUGUGUCGAUGUUAACAAAAUUAUGGAAAAGGGACACCUUCACCUGUAGAUACUUCACCACUAUCCCCAUAAGGAGAUAACAUCGAAUGUAUGCUAAAAAAUGGAGAAAAUCGGAAUUUAUGUAUAUCGAAAAAGCCAGUUAUUGAACUUCAAAAACAGACAUUCUUCAAGAUCUGUUCAAAGUCCCACCACGAGCAAUAUAUCGUUACCAUUACCAAAAUCUCCAAAUUUAAGUCUUGGAAGAGUUGAUGACCAAUUAAAUAUAGGCAAAUUCCAAAGAUGUCAUCCUAAUGUACCUUAUGGAUGGGUACUUAAUCCCGACCCAAAGAACAAUAAAGGAAUUCUUUAAAGAAGAAGAUAUAAUGUAUUAUUGAAAUUUUUCUGUGUAUUUAAUUUAAUUUUUUAUUUCAUGAUUAAAAUCCAAAAAUUCAAGUUCAAAAUAACAGAUGUUUUUGUUUUUAAUUAAAAAAAAAUUUUCCGCUCCACUUUUUUUUUAAUUUUCGCUCCGCUCCACUUUUUUUGAAUUUCAGGUUUUUAUUCCAAAUU
This is a long non-coding RNA of Episyrphus balteatus (marmalade hoverfly), 2359 nucleotides long. RefSeq lists it as uncharacterized. The record is from RefSeq and is a predicted model, not a curated record. NCBI's taxonomy places the organism in Eukaryota, Metazoa, Arthropoda, Insecta, Diptera, Syrphidae. The transcript has 3 exons.